UACGUAGGGGGCGAGCGUUGUCCGGAAUUAUUGGGCGUAAAGAGCGUGUAGGCUGUUCGGUAAGUCUGCCGUGAAAACCUGAGGCUCAACUUCGGGCGUGCGGUGGAUACUGCCGGGCUAGAGGACGGUAGAGGCGAGUGGAAUUCCCGGUGUAGCGGUGAAAUGCGCAGAUAUCGGGAGGAACACCAGUAGCGAAGGCGGCUCGCUGGGCCGUUUCUGACGCUGAGACGCGAAAGCUAGGGGAGCGAACAGGAUUAGAUACCCGUGUAGU
RNAcentral lists this ribosomal RNA (271 nucleotides) under uncultured bacterium. RNAcentral describes it as "partial 16S ribosomal RNA". It matches the Rfam family "Bacterial small subunit ribosomal RNA", at positions 524 to 794 of the family's 1533-position model. The record is from RNAcentral.